GUAGGUGGCAAGCGUUGUCCGGAAUUAUUGGGCGUAAAGCGCGCGCAGGCGGUUCUUUAAGUCUGAUGUGAAAGCCCACGGCCCAACCGUGGAGGGUCAUUGGAAACUGGAGAACUUGAGUACAGAAGAGGAAAGCGGAAUUCCACGUGUAGCGGUGAAAUGCGUAGAGAUGUGGAGGAACACCAGUGGCGAAGGCGGCUUUCUGGUCUGUAACUGACGCUGAUGCGCGAAAGCGUGGGGAGCAAACAGGAUUAAAUACCCUGGUAGUCCACGCCGUAAACGAUGAGUGCUAAGUGUUAGGGGGUUUCCGCCCCCUUAGUGCUGCAGCUAACGCAUUAAGCACUCCGCCUGGGGAUACGGCCGCAAGGCUG
This 371-nucleotide ribosomal RNA is filed under the name uncultured organism. Its description in RNAcentral is "partial 16S ribosomal RNA". It matches the Rfam family "Bacterial small subunit ribosomal RNA", at positions 527 to 896 of the family's 1533-position model. The record is from RNAcentral.